This 437-nucleotide ribosomal RNA is filed under the name uncultured Treponema sp. RNAcentral describes it as "partial 16S ribosomal RNA". It matches the Rfam family "Bacterial small subunit ribosomal RNA", at positions 341 to 792 of the family's 1533-position model. The record is from RNAcentral. Lineage: Bacteria; Pseudomonadati; Spirochaetota; Spirochaetia; Treponematales; Treponemataceae.
ACGGGAGGCAGCAGUGGGGAAUAUUGGGCAAUGGGCGCAAGCCUGACCCAGCAACGCCGCGUGAAGGAAGAAGGUUUUCGGAUUGUAAACUUCUGUCCUUGGUGACGAAGGAAGUGACGGUAGCCAAGGAGGAAGCCCCGGCUAAUUACGCGCCAGCAGCCGCGGUAACACGUAAGGUGCGAGCGUUGUUCGGAAUCAUUGGGCGUAAAGGGCAUGUAGGCGGUCUGUCAAGCCAGGCGUGAAAGCCAGGGGCUCAACCCCUGAACUGCGCUUGGAACUGGCGGACUGGAGUCGCUGAGGGGGAACCGGAAUUCCUGGUGUAGGGGUGAAAUCUGUAGAUAUCAGGAAGAACACCGAUGGCGAAGGCAGGUUUCCAGCAGACGACUGACGCUGAGGUGCGAAGGUGCGGGGAGCAAACAGGAUUAGAUACCCUGGUA